RNAcentral lists this ribosomal RNA (648 nucleotides) under Domibacillus sp. RNAcentral's name for it is "bacterial SSU rRNA". It matches the Rfam family "Bacterial small subunit ribosomal RNA", at positions 642 to 1289 of the family's 1533-position model. The record is from RNAcentral. Lineage: Bacteria; Bacillati; Bacillota; Bacilli; Caryophanales; Bacillaceae.
UGAGUGCAGAAGAGAAGAGCGGAAUUCCACGUGUAGCGGUGAAAUGCGUAGAGAUGUGGAGGAACACCAGUGGCGAAGGCGGCUCUUUGGUCUGUAACUGACGCUGAGGCGCGAAAGCGUGGGGAGCGAACAGGAUUAGAUACCCUGGUAGUCCACGCCGUAAACGAUGAGUGCUAAGUGUUGGGGGGUUUCCGCCCCUCAGUGCUGCAGCUAACGCAUUAAGCACUCCGCCUGGGGAGUACGGCCGCAAGGCUGAAACUCAAAGGAAUUGACGGGGGCCCGCACAAGCGGUGGAGCARGUGGUUUAAUUCGAAGCAACGCGAAGAACCUUACCAGGUCUUGACAUCCCGCUGACCGUCCUGGAGACAGGAUUUUCCCUUCGGGGACAGCGGUGACAGGUGGUGCAUGGUUGUCGUCAGCUCGUGUCGUGAGAUGUUGGGUUAAGUCCCGCAACGAGCGCAACCCUUGAUCUUAGUUGCCAGCAUUCAGUUGGGCACUCUAAGGUGACUGCCGGUGACAAACCGGAGGAAGGUGGGGAUGACGUCAAAUCAUCAUGCCCCUUAUGACCUGGGCUACACACGUGCUACAAUGGAUGGUACAAAGGGCUGCAAGACCGCGAGGUUUAGCCAAUCCCAUAAAACCAUUCUC